UAUGCAGAUUUCAGAAAGGAAGAAGAGGAACUAAAAUAAAGUGUCUACUACCACAGAAUUGCACGACUGAAGAUUUGAAGGUUCGUUGGUGGGCUUGCAUUGUGGUCCCUACCUAGUUCAUCAUCAAUAAAGAUACGUGUACAUCUAAGGACCUGAACCUAUAAUAUCAGGGCCCAACCAUGGAAAAGGUGAAUAUGAAAUCUUAUAUGUCUCACAUACUUUAGGGCUAGUGACCGUCUUUCCAUUUAUCCACAUGGCAGUUCUGUUUAUAUAAUAAUAAUAGUUUACUCUAGCCUCACCCAUCCAUGAAGGCAUUUGUUCUGAGUCAAAAGUAAUUUGCUAUUUACAGGAAGUAGUAUUACCCUGGUUUAUGAAGACAUUUUCACAACGUCUCUGGUGCGGGAUAAUUCUAUUCUC
Molecule: long non-coding RNA, 417 nt
Organism: Spea bombifrons (plains spadefoot toad)
Lineage: Eukaryota; Metazoa; Chordata; Amphibia; Anura; Pelobatidae
Exons: 2
Source: RefSeq, a predicted model, not a curated record